This 1958-nucleotide non-coding RNA is filed under the name Atta cephalotes. RNAcentral describes it as "Archaeal large subunit ribosomal RNA". It matches the Rfam family "Eukaryotic large subunit ribosomal RNA", at positions 1 to 2329 of the family's 3401-position model. Lineage: Eukaryota; Metazoa; Arthropoda; Insecta; Hymenoptera; Formicidae. The record is from Rfam by way of RNAcentral.
UUAACUUUCGACCUACGUUCUCCACCUCGCGUGGGGAACCGAUACCAGUCGGCGACGCUACUGCUUUGAGUACUCUUAGGAUCAAGGAGUCUAACAUGUACGCAGAACAUCUCUCAUCGCGAGAAGAGGCGCACUCAGAGCAUAUACGGUGGAAUCCGAAAGAUGAUGCCUGAUCAGGAAGAAGUCAGGGGCAACCCUAAUGGAAUUCUGCAGCGAUUCUGACGAGCAAAUCGAUCGUCAGAAUUAUAGUAUAGGGGCGAAAGAUUAAUCGAACCAUCUAAUAGCUGGUUUUCUCCGAAAUUUCUCUCAGGAUAGCUGGCUCUCGGCCAUUCCGCACGAAACGCGUGCAAGUCUCAUAUAGUAAAGUGAAUGAUUAAAAAUCUUAAGAAAGACCUUGGAACCGAAACGAUCUCAAUCUAUUCUCAAACUUUUAAAUAGGUGAGAUCUCUGACUUUCUUGAAAUCACGAGAAUCUCGGAUCAGAAUGCCAAGUGGGUCAUUUUUGGUAAGCAGAACUGGAGCUGGAAUGAACCAAACGCAGAGUUAAGGCGCCCAACUCGACGCUCAUCAUCAUGAAAAGUGUUGGUUGUUUAAGACAGCAGGACGAUGGCCAUGUUUGAAUUCAUUAAUGAGCGUAUAAUAACUCACCUGUCGAAACAACUAGCUUUGAAAAUGAAUAUCGCUGAAGUGUCGAGCUUAUACUCAGCGGCAAGUGGGGCGUCGCCAUGAAGCCCAGAAGAAUCUGGGCAUGAGAGCCCAGACUGUCUAGAGCUACCGUCGGUGCAGAUCUUGGUGAUAGUAAUAAAUACUCCAAAGGCCCUGGAGGAUUGAUGUGGAAAAAAUUUCGUGUGAACAGGUCGUUGCACACGAGUCAGUUGAUCCUAAGCCCUAGGAGAAAUCCUAUGUCAAUGACGAUUCUCUAGUGUACUACUCGAGCGAUUCUGCAAAGAAGAGAGAGAGAGAGAGAGAGAGAGAGAGUGAAACACGCCCGUCGGGUGGAAGGGAAUCCGGCUCCUAUUCCGGAACUAGCAGCGGAACCGUAUAUAAUUCGGGCCAUCGUAAGAGUGUGUUCGUCAGAGUAACCCAAAAUGACCUGGAGAUCCGGGAAAAAUUUUCUUUUCUGUAUAAGCAUUCGAAUUCCUUGGAAAUCUCUAACAGGGAGAUAGGGUUUGGAAGAAGAUGCGAAGAACCGCAGUUGCGGCGGUGUCCGGAUCUUCUCCUCGGAAGAUUGACCUUGAAAAUCCAGGAGAAGGGCACAUCUAGGUGUCGCACCGGCUUAUACCUACAUCCGCAGCAGGUCUCCGAAAUAAAGAGCCUCGAUAGAUUAAUGUAGAUAGAUAAGGGAAAUUAUAAUAUAGGAAAUUAUAAUUAUAAGGGAAUAUUAUAUAAUUAUUAUAGAUAUCGGCAAAUUGAAUCCGUAACUUCGGAAUAAGGAUUGGCUCUAAGGAGCAGAACUUGUCAGGUUUGAUCGGGAAGCGGGUCUGACGUGGCGGGCCUGGGCGAGAUGAACGCUAGGGUGUUCUCACGCCGAUUCCGAGAUCCGAAUUCCCGUGCCUUGGCCUCUCAUGGAUCUUCCUUGCUGCAAGGCUUCCGUAGCGGCGGGCCGUCGUGGUCGCCUUCUUCGGCGGCCAUUCAAUGCUCAGCUCAGAUCUGACACAAACAAGGGCAAUCCGACUAAUUUCUAUCUAAUUCUAAUCUAAUUAAAACAAAGCAUUGCGAUAGUCCUCAUGGGUGUUGAUGCAAUAUGAUUUCUGCCCAGUGCUCUGAAUAUCAACGUGAAGAAAUUCAAGCAAGCGCAGAUAAACGGCGGGACUAACUAUAACUUUUUUAAGAGUUCUCGCAAUUCCUAUCAUUAUGACGACGGCGGUUGCUCUCACUAUCGCACAGUCUAAUCGACUGUACGAAAAACCAGCCUUGCCAAAUCUUAUCAUCAGCCAGCCUAACCAAAAUGAAAAAACA